Cucumis melo (muskmelon) is the source of this 633-nucleotide long non-coding RNA. RefSeq lists it as uncharacterized. Lineage: Eukaryota; Viridiplantae; Streptophyta; Magnoliopsida; Cucurbitales; Cucurbitaceae. The record is from RefSeq and is a predicted model, not a curated record. The transcript is spliced from 2 exons.
CAGAACUGCCCAUCCUCCUUCUUUGUCGUAGCUGAGGAGUUUUUUUAUUUCUUGCAUCAGAGGAUCGCAAUCGUCGGCUUUUCCUAAUUGGAUCUUAGAGUAAAGCAUGCUCUCGAUUCUAGUCCAGAAGAACCAAAUCAUUGCAGAAUGCUUAUAUUAUCACAUUCUAUCAAUUCAUUGGAUGAACUACCUGUUGAAAAGGAUUAGUUCCAUACCGUGGCAUCAGCCGCUAAGGUGGCACGUUUCAGAAUGUUUUCAACCAGGCGUAGAAGCGAUCUUGUGUCAACAUCUCGAUCAUCGGGAUCGUGGGUGGCUAGUAUUUGCUUCAUCAUCACAUUGUCGUCAGAAAUGGCGGACAAGAACUUGUUACCCUUGGCCAAUUGAUGUCGAGAGGCGAGCGAGAACUUAUUACCACAGUCCAUUGUUCUACAACACAAAUGUAGGGAAGUCACAGCAGGUUGUGUGGAAUGGGAAUGUAUGCAAGAUGAAUUGACAAAUUUAUAGCCUCAAGAAGGAGUAAAGUUUCUGUUGAAACAACUUCUUUUCUAAACUUUUGGUUAAAUUUCUUCUAUGUCAAGACGCCUUUGUUUGUGGACCCUUUAACUUACAGUUUACAUUUCAUUUUUCUCACAA